RNAcentral lists this long non-coding RNA (339 nucleotides) under Elaeis guineensis (African oil palm). RNAcentral's name for it is "long non-coding RNA (EGUI_LNC044512)". Lineage: Eukaryota; Viridiplantae; Streptophyta; Magnoliopsida; Arecales; Arecaceae. The record is from RNAcentral.
CCAGAUGAAGCAUCUCUUGAAUCGCCGUCUCCUCCCAAAAUUCCAUCAAAAGCUACAGAAGCCGGAUCCAAAGCAGGGCUAUUCCAAUCGCACCCUCCUCCAAAAGGAAUCCCGAUCACCAUGUCUCCAUAGCUAACACCUGUUCGGCAACCACACACAGUUGUUGGAGUAUCAGGUCCCUCUUUCCGACCUCCUUGAAUCGAAAGAGAAGAAAGCCCUUCUCCAGCCCGUACACCGCCACCUCUCCCUUCAAUCCUGUCCGAAGCUGGAAUUCCUUAACCACCAGAUCCAGCACCACCCACUAGCCCAAGCUCCUCGCAACCACCGUUGUGGUCGCUC